UACGUAGGGUGCGAGCGUUGCCCGGAUUUAUUGGGCGUAAAGGGCGCGUAGGCGGCUCGGCACGUCCGUUGUGAAAUCGCCCGGCUCAACUGGGCGGGGUCGGCGGAUACGGCCGAGCUGGAGCAAGCUAGGGGGUAAUGGAAUUCCCGGUGUAGUGGUGGAAUGCGUAGAUAUCAGGAGGAACACCAGUGGCGAAGGCGGUUACCUGGAGCUUUGCUGACGCUGAUGCGCGAAAGCGUGGGGAGCGAUCCGG
RNAcentral lists this ribosomal RNA (253 nucleotides) under uncultured bacterium. RNAcentral's name for it is "partial 16S ribosomal RNA". It matches the Rfam family "Bacterial small subunit ribosomal RNA", at positions 524 to 776 of the family's 1533-position model. The record is from RNAcentral.